Molecule: long non-coding RNA, 291 nt
Organism: Schistocerca nitens (vagrant locust)
Lineage: Eukaryota; Metazoa; Arthropoda; Insecta; Orthoptera; Acrididae
Exons: 3
Source: RefSeq, a predicted model, not a curated record
AAAGACAGUACACCAAGAGGAAGCGGUCGCGACACAAGUGGUGGGAAACAAUCUGUUCGCAAUAGAGGAAAGGUAAACUGGUGUGCUUAUGAUGGACGGCCAAUUCACUGCACGUAUUAAAGAGUUUUGUGUUAACUCACUUUCGGAUGUUCAUCACUUGUGGUUGACUGGAUGAACCUCGGAAUGGCUACACUGUACUCUAUUGCAGAACUAUACUCAGAACCUUCGGAGGACACCAUAGAGUAACUUUGUUAUUUUUGGCUGAAAUUAUUCAAAUAAAUCCAUAAAAAC